RNAcentral lists this ribosomal RNA (754 nucleotides) under uncultured bacterium. RNAcentral describes it as "bacterial SSU rRNA". It matches the Rfam family "Bacterial small subunit ribosomal RNA", at positions 8 to 796 of the family's 1533-position model. The record is from RNAcentral.
AGAGUUUGAUCUGGCUCAGAAUCAACGCUGGCGGCGCGCUAACACAUGCAAGUCGCACGAGAAAGUGGAGCAAUCCAUGAGUACAGUGGCGUACGGGUGAGUAACACGUGGAUCAUCUACCUCCUAGUGGGGAAUAACCAUGGGAAACCGUGGCUAAUACCGCAUAAGCUCGAGAGAGGAAAGCAGCAAUGCGCUGGGAGAGGAGUCCGCGGCCGAUUAGCUAGUUGGCAGGGUAAAAGCCUACCAAGGCAAAGAUCGGUAGCCGGCCUGAGAGGGCACACGGCCACACUGGCACUGAAACACGGGCCAGACUCCUACGGGAGGCAGCAGUGGGGAAUCUUGCACAAUGGGGGAAACCCUGAUGCAGCGACGCCGCGUGAGCGAUGAAGCCCUUCGGGGUGUAAAGCUCUUUCGGCAGGGAAGAUUAUGACGGUACCUGCAGAAGCAGCUGCGGCUAACUACGUGCCAGCAGCCGCGGUAAUACGUAGGCAGCAAGCGUUGUUCGGAGUUACUGGGCGUAAAGGGUGUGUAGGCGGUUGUUUAAGUUUGGUGUGAAAUCUCCCGGCUCAACUGGGAGGGUGCGCCGAAUACUGAAUGACUAGAGUGCGGGAGAGGAAAGUGGAAUUCCUGGUGUAGCGGUGAAAUGCGUAGAUAUCAGGAGGAACACCGGUGGUGUAAACGGCUUUCUGGACCGUAACUGACGCUGAAACACGAAAGCGUGGGGAGCAAACAGGAUUAGAUACCCUAGUAGUCC